This 120-nucleotide ribosomal RNA is filed under the name Paramormyrops kingsleyae. The record is from RNAcentral. Lineage: Eukaryota; Metazoa; Chordata; Actinopteri; Osteoglossiformes; Mormyridae.
UAUUUCUGCCAUAUGACCUGUAAUUUAGACCACGUUAUCCCUCUGAAGCAAAGCAGGUUUGGGCCUGGCCCAUACUUGGAUGGAAGACCAAACAGGAAACCUGGGCUGCUACGGAAAAAU